UACGGGGGGGCAAGCGUUGUUCGGAAUUACUGGGCGUAAAGGGCGCGUAGGCGGCUUUUCAAGUCGGGCGUGAAAUCUCCGGGCUUAACCCGGAAGGGUCGUUCGAUACUGUUGAGCUAGAGUGUGGAAGAGGCAACUAGAAUUCCGUGUGUAGCGGUGAAAUGCGUAGAUAUCUGGAGGAACACCGGUGGCGAAGGCGGCAUCCUGGACCGGCAUUGACGCUGAGGCGCGAAAGCCAGGGGAGCAAACGGG
RNAcentral lists this ribosomal RNA (252 nucleotides) under uncultured bacterium. Its description in RNAcentral is "partial 16S ribosomal RNA". It matches the Rfam family "Bacterial small subunit ribosomal RNA", at positions 524 to 776 of the family's 1533-position model. The record is from RNAcentral.